GAUGAACGCUGGCGGCGUGCCUAACACAUGCAAGUCGAACGAACGGACGAGAAUCUUGCGUCUCUGAUGUUAGCGGCGCACGUGUGAGUAACACGUGUAUAACCUACCUAUAAGACUGGGAUAACUACGGGAAACCGGAUCUUAUACCGUAUAAUAUCUUGAACCUCAUGGUGCGAAAGUAAAAUACGGUCUUUCUGUCACGUAUCGAUGGAUCCGCGCUGCAUUAGAUAGUUGUUAAGGUAACCGCGUACCAAGGCAACGAUGCAUAGCCGACCUGAGAGAGUGAUAGGCCACACUGGAACUGAGACACGGUCAAGAGUACUACGGGAGGCAGCAGUCGGGAAUCUUACGCAAAGGGCGAGAGCAUGACGGAGCCCCGCCGCGUGAGUGAUGACGGUCUUCGGAUCGUAAAACUCUGUUAUUAGGGAAGAACCUAUUUCUAAGUAAAUGUGAAGAGCUUGACGGUAACUAAUAAGAAAGCAACGGCUAACUACGUG
RNAcentral lists this ribosomal RNA (497 nucleotides) under uncultured bacterium. RNAcentral's name for it is "partial 16S ribosomal RNA". It matches the Rfam family "Bacterial small subunit ribosomal RNA", at positions 28 to 507 of the family's 1533-position model. The record is from RNAcentral.